This is a long non-coding RNA of Triticum aestivum (bread wheat), 460 nucleotides long. RefSeq lists it as uncharacterized. The transcript is spliced from 2 exons. The record is from RefSeq and is a predicted model, not a curated record. Lineage: Eukaryota; Viridiplantae; Streptophyta; Magnoliopsida; Poales; Poaceae.
UUGGUACAGGGGGUUCGCAUGGUCCGAUCCUCUCCGAUCCCCUUCGAUCCUCCCAAACCCACGCGAUUCAGAACCCUCGUCCAAGGGCUCAGGGAAGCAGCGUCCCAGCGCACGCCGCCACCACCGAGGGGAGGAGCCCCGCCGGUGAGAGGAGGAGCCCCAACACCGCCGCCCGACUCUGCCUGCCGCCCCGACUCUCCCCGGUGGUUCUCAUGCACCAAAAGAAGCAACAAUAAACAAGCUGGAUGAAUAAAUUUUUCUCAGGUUCUCAAUGCUAGAUGACCAUGACACCAAAAGAUGGAUACAUGUUUUUGCAUUAUCUUCGUUGCAAAAUGAUGUUGUGGCUGUGAUGAACUGUCUACUGCGAAAGAUUAUGUUGUUAUGAUAAAUAAUGAAUGCUUGGAUUUGGGAUUCAAAGUCAUGUUGUUAUGAUAAAUUGUGUUAUUGCUGUGAUGAGAUA